GGAGGGGCUGGUGGCUCAGUGGUAGAGCAUCUGCUGGGCAUGCAGAAGAUCCCAGGUUCAACCCUCAGUGUCUCCA
RNAcentral lists this transfer RNA (76 nucleotides) under Sphaerodactylus townsendi. RNAcentral's name for it is "tRNA-Ala". Lineage: Eukaryota; Metazoa; Chordata; Lepidosauria; Squamata; Sphaerodactylidae. The record is from RNAcentral.